Pseudopipra pipra is the source of this 1935-nucleotide long non-coding RNA. RefSeq lists it as uncharacterized. The record is from RefSeq and is a predicted model, not a curated record. The transcript has 3 exons. NCBI's taxonomy places the organism in Eukaryota, Metazoa, Chordata, Aves, Passeriformes, Pipridae.
UAGUUCUGCCACUAUCAUCUUUCCUUUAAGGAACAGAGCUUUCUUCCUUAGAACUUUACACAGAACACAUUUUGCCUGCAAAUGUGACCUUUUGGAUCAGCUUCAGAUAGGAGAGUUUAACAUGCAGACACCUAAAUGCUAUACCUUACCAUCACUGAUAAUGGGAUCAUCUGAUAAUACUGGAUUCUUAGUUAAUUUUUUAAUUUUUCAAACGAGUCUAGCACUCAAAUAUUUUUUUUUUCUUUAAAAAAGGUUGACAACAUGGCAUUUAUCCAAUGUAGUGUGGUCUUUUUAAGGUCUGCAGUACGAACACAUUUUUUCAUCUCAGUGAGAUCUAUCACUGCAAGGUCUAUUUCAGCAUCCCUCCAAUAAAGGAGGGGUCAAAUAUUACCCAGGGAAAGGUGCAGCAGGCAGGCCAAGCCUCCAAAGCGCAGCUGUCCGGUCUUCCAAGAAAUCCCCUGUCUGCAAAGGAAAAGGACCACUGAUGCUUCCACAGAAGGAAGAAUUCCUCUCAUUGCAGUUCCAGGAGUGUGUGAGGGAAGGAAUGAGAAGGGGGGCAGAAGAAGCACACAGGAUCCAUAUGCUAUAACGUACUUCAGGCUCCAAAUGGGCAUAAUCUGUCCCUUGAUUCCAGUCUCUCAAUACAGCCUCUAAGUCACAAAUUCAAUGGACCAAAUACAACUCAUCUUUGGAGUAGCCACUGGGAUGAAUUUAGAUCUGGCUGUAUCAGAAACAGUAUCAGAAGAAAAGCGGAUGAAAAUUGUACAAAAACUCCUUUGUACCCUGCUUCACAGACUUGUGACCAUGACUGAAUUCAUCUUCUGGGUGUUUCCUCAGAUGAGCAUGCCUUUAAUUUUUCCUUGGGGCUUAAAAAAGUUUUUUAACCCAUUUUUCCAUAUCACCACACACUGUCCUGGAGAUGUCUCUCAGGAAUAUAUAUGGUGAGGUUCCACAUCCCUAGUCCUCACCGGGAAUGGGAUUGCAAAAGAACAUUCCAACUAUUUUAGGUUAUGGAAAAAGUAAUCAAAUAUUUCACUCACCACUAAAAUGUCAUCAUUUUAUGCAUUUCACAAAGAAUUCUCUCGUUACAUUAGAUAGGCCUGGAGAGACUCCAGUCUCUGUGGGUUGCAUGCAUUCCCCUGUUCUGUUCAGAAAAUAAAAGCCUUGGUCUGUUUUUUAAGAAAGCCAAAGUCACUUGGUGCCCUGCUACUGACCCAAAACUUGAUGGCAAUACACCUUAUUUCUCUUACAAACUGAUUUGGCCUUUUCUGAAUUUGUUCCUCACACAGCUGUGUGCACACCAUUCUCCCCACAUACUUUGAUAAAAAUAACAAUUGCACAUGAAGAAAAAAGAAAACCCAGAAUAAUAACGACAACAGCAACCGCUUGAGAAAGACUAAUGAGGGCUGCUGAACAGCAGAGCCAUUCACUGACACUGAAAAAAGAAGACAUCAAGUCUAUGAGGCCAUUAGUAUCCCAAUUUUAAAUUUAACUGAUUUUUUUAAUUAUUAUUUUGGCACAAUGCUGCAACGAUACAGCGGCAUGAUACAAACACUGUAGCAUCUGCAAGAAUUCUCAGCCUUUGAGAAAAAGAGUAUGUUAGCAACACACAGACCUUAUGAAUGCAAGUAAUUCUUGCUGUAGGAGAGAGACAAAGUGUAUCCUUACCUCUUACUCUCUUCCAUAUCACUGUAAUGCCUACACGUUCAGAGAGCCAAAGACACCAGUGGCUGGGCACUAUACGAACACAUAAAAGGAGAGUUCUAAACCUAUAUGCUACAGCUCUAAGACUUCAACAGCUCCAUGAAACCCAGUGGCAUGGCAGAGAUAAAAGUUGAGUAAGAAAUGUCUGUACUGAGAAAUACAUUGUUGUUCAAUCUAUGUUGCUUUAAUGUGAAAUCCUACAUUACAGGAUUUUCUGUAAUAAAAUGCAUC